This 292-nucleotide ribosomal RNA is filed under the name uncultured bacterium. RNAcentral describes it as "partial 16S ribosomal RNA". The record is from RNAcentral.
GGACUACUCGGGUAUCUAAUCCUGUUUGAUCCCCACGCUUUCGGGUUUGAGUGUCAAUGUUUGGCCAGUUACCCGCCUUCGCCACCGGUGUUCCACCUGAUAUCUACGUAUUUCACCACUACACCAGGUAUUCCAGUAACCUCUCCAACAUUCAAGCUUUGCAGUAUCAAAUGCACUUCCUGGGUUAAGCCCAGGGCUUUCACAUCUGACUUAUAAAGCCACCUACACCCGCUUUACGCCCAAUGAUUCCGAACAACGCUAGGGUCCCUCGUCUUACCGCGGCGGCUGGCAC